ACGUAGGGUGCGAGCGUUAAUCGGAAUUACUGGGCGUAAAGCGUGCGCAGGCGGUCUUGCAAGACAGGUGUGAAAUCCCCGGGCUUAACCUGGGAACUGCACUUGUGACUGCAAGGCUGGAGUACGGCAGAGGGGGAUGGAAUUCCGCGUGUAGCAGUGAAAUGCGUAGAUAUGCGGAGGAACACCGAUGGCGAAGGCAAUCCCCUGGGCCUGUACUGACGCUCAUGUACGAAAGCGUGGGGAGCAAACAGGAUUAGAUACCCUGGUAGUCCACGCCCUAAACGAUGUCAACUGGUUGUUGGGAAGGUUCCUUCUCAGUAACGUAGCUAACGCGUGAAGUUGACCGCCUGGGGAGUACGGCCGCAAGGUUG
RNAcentral lists this ribosomal RNA (371 nucleotides) under uncultured bacterium. Its description in RNAcentral is "bacterial SSU rRNA". It matches the Rfam family "Bacterial small subunit ribosomal RNA", at positions 525 to 896 of the family's 1533-position model. The record is from RNAcentral.